UACGUAGGGUGCGAGCGUUGUCCGGAUUUACUGGGCGUAAAGAGCUCGUAGGUGGUUUGUCGCGUUGUUCGUGAAAACUCACAGCUUAACUGUGGGCGUGCGGGCGAUACGGGCAGACUAGAGUACUGCAGGGGAGACUGGGAAUUCCUGGUGUAGCGGUGGAAUGACGCAGAUAUCAGGAGGAACACCGGUGGCGAAGGCGGGUCUCUGGGCAGUAACUGA
RNAcentral lists this ribosomal RNA (222 nucleotides) under uncultured bacterium. RNAcentral describes it as "partial 16S ribosomal RNA". It matches the Rfam family "Bacterial small subunit ribosomal RNA", at positions 524 to 743 of the family's 1533-position model. The record is from RNAcentral.